AAACAUUCAAACAUUCAAAACUUAGACAUAACUUUGAAAUAGCAAAAGAGGAAACAACCCCUUACAGUCUCACAUAAUGUGUCAUUGAAUAAAAUACAAUGCAAGUCAAUGAAAGAAUGCCAAUUAAUCCAUUAAUCAUACAGAACUCUACAAAAUACACCUCAGAUAUGAUCUAUCUGCUAACCCUUUCUCUGUUUAAUUUUCUUUAAUUUCAUGCUGACAGAUGCAGCCAAAAAACAAGGAGCAAAAGUGGUGGAAGCCGAGGAAAAAAUAAAAACCUGGCUGAAGUAUAGUGGAGACCGAAAUGGAGGAAGAAAAAAAAGAGCAACAGAAAAAGAAACAGAAGCCUCAAGCAGAUUCCAGCAGCUGUGAAAGUGAAUGAGUAUGCUGCUACUUCUCCUCCUCCGCUCCGUCUUCAUCAUCAGAGCCACACACAAUCUCUAAUCUGCUUCAAAAAACUCUGCAGAAUACGGAAGAGAAUCUGCACAUUUUCUCAUUAAACUGCAAUAAGUUAAUUU
Long non-coding RNA from Cyprinus carpio (common carp), 518 nucleotides. RefSeq lists it as uncharacterized. NCBI's taxonomy places the organism in Eukaryota, Metazoa, Chordata, Actinopteri, Cypriniformes, Cyprinidae. The record is from RefSeq and is a predicted model, not a curated record. The transcript has 3 exons.